UCAGAGAAGGCGAGAGAGACCGGAGAGGAUGCCGGAUCUCCGAGCUGCAAGAGUAGGUGGCGAAAUUCCCAUGCAAUUGUAGUUUCUGACUAAGUGAAUACUAGUAGCUCAAAGGGUAAGAGCAUGGUUUCUGCUGAGAAUUAAGAAGGUUGGGGAAGCUGGAAAAGUAAAUUUGUCAGUCAUCAAGUUUACCUUGGAUGUUCCAAUUAUAUUUUGAUGGACAUGUUAGACUAUGUUUUUUUUAUAUAAUUAUAAGUAAUUAUGUAAAGUACUUGUAGACUAUAUAUACCUCUAUAAAGAGGAAAGUGUGACUAUGUAGCCAGCAAGUAAGUGCCAAUGGCUAUAGGGUGGUAGAUAAAUGUUUAGCCAUUACUAUGACAUCAAAUAUUAACGGUUUAGUAGAAGAAACUUAUCGAUAUUUGAGCUAGGGAAUUAACUAGAUGUUUGAACUAA
Long non-coding RNA from Neltuma alba, 453 nucleotides. RefSeq lists it as uncharacterized. The record is from RefSeq and is a predicted model, not a curated record. Lineage: Eukaryota; Viridiplantae; Streptophyta; Magnoliopsida; Fabales; Fabaceae. The transcript has 2 exons.